CCUGCCCAGUGAAAAAUUUUAACGGCCGCGGUAUCCUAACCGUGCGAAGGUAGCGUAAUCACUUGUUCUUUAAAUCAGGACUAGUAUGAAUGGCACCACGAAGGUUAUACUGUCUCCCCUUUUUAAUCAGUGAAACUAAUCUCCCCGUGAAGAAGCGGGAAUAAAACUAUAAGACGAGAAGACCCUAUGGAGCUUUAGACUACAUAACAAUUGCUAUCUAUUUAUUUAUCCCCCGGGAACUCAAUUAUAUUAAUUCAUAUUGAUUACUAGUCUUAGGUUGGGGUGACCGCGGAGUAAAAUACAACCUCCAUGAUGAAAGAAACUUAAUUUCUUAACCCAGAGUUACAACUCUAAGUACCAAAAAUUUGACAUAAAUUGACCCAAUAAUUUGAUCAACGAACCAAGUUACCCUA
This 413-nucleotide ribosomal RNA is filed under the name Physalaemus cuvieri (barker frog). Its description in RNAcentral is "partial large subunit ribosomal RNA". It matches the Rfam family "Bacterial large subunit ribosomal RNA", at positions 1858 to 2470 of the family's 2925-position model. Lineage: Eukaryota; Metazoa; Chordata; Amphibia; Anura; Leptodactylidae. The record is from RNAcentral.